CAGUCGCCACGGUAAUACGUAGGGUGCGAGCGUUAAUCGGAAUUACUGGGCGUAAAGCGUGCGCAGGCGGUUCGUUAAGUCAGAUGUGAAAUCCCCGGGCUUAACCUGGGAACUGCAUUUGAAACUGGCAGGCUAGAGUCUUGUAGAGGGGGGUAGAAUUCCAGGUGUAGCGGUGAAAUGCGUAGAGAUCUGGAGGAAUACCGGUGGCGAAGGCGGCCCCCUGGACAAAGACUGACGCUCAGGUGCGAAAGCGUGGGGAGCAAACAGGAUUAGAUACCCGAGUAGUCCCUGUCUCUUAUAC
This 301-nucleotide ribosomal RNA is filed under the name uncultured bacterium. RNAcentral's name for it is "partial 16S ribosomal RNA". It matches the Rfam family "Bacterial small subunit ribosomal RNA", at positions 509 to 807 of the family's 1533-position model. The record is from RNAcentral.